This 510-nucleotide ribosomal RNA is filed under the name uncultured bacterium. RNAcentral's name for it is "partial 16S ribosomal RNA". It matches the Rfam family "Bacterial small subunit ribosomal RNA", at positions 28 to 507 of the family's 1533-position model. The record is from RNAcentral.
GACGAACGCUGGCGGCGUGCUUAACACAUGCAAGUCGAACGAAGAGCGAUGGAAGCUUGCUUCUAUCAAUCUUAGUGGCGAACGGGUGAGUAACGCGUAAUCAACCUGCCCUUCAGAGGGGGACAACAGUUGGAAACGACUGCUAAUACCGCAUACGAUCUAAUCUCGGCAUCGAGGAUAGAUGAAAGGUGGCCUCUACAUGUAAGCUAUCACUGAAGGAGGGGAUUGCGUCUGAUUAGCUAGUUGGAGGGGUAACGGCCCACCAAGGCGAUGAUCAGUAGCCGGUCUGAGAGGAUGAACGGCCACAUUGGGACUGAGACACGGCCCAGACUCCUACGGGAGGCAGCAGUGGGGAAUCUUCCGCAAUGGACGAAAGUCUGACGGAGCAACGCCGCGUGAGGGAUGACGGCCUUCGGGUUGGAAAGCUCUGUUAAUCGGGACGAAAGGCCUUCUUGCGAAUAGUGAGAAGGAUUGACGGUACCGGAAGAGAAAGCCACGGCUAACUACGUG